AGCGCACACGGUGGAUGCCUUGGCGGUCAGAGGCGAUGAAGGACGUGGCAGCCUGCGAAAAGUAUCGGGGAGCUGGCAACAAGCUUUGAUCCGGUAAUGUCCGAAUGGGGAAACCCACCCGCUUGCGGGUAUCCUGCAGUGAAUACAUAGCUGCUGGAAGCGAACCUGGUGAACUGAAAUAUCUAAGUAACCAGAGGAAAAGAAAUCAACCGAGAUUCCGUAAGUAGCGACGAGCGAACGCGGACUAGCCCUUAAGCUGAUUUGGUUCUAGGAAAACGCUCUGGAAAGAGCGGCCAUAGAAGGUGAUAGCCCUGUAUCUGAAAGGGCCAUUUCAGUGAAGACGAGUAGGGCGGGGCACGUGAAACCCUGUCUGAACAUGGGGGGACCAUCCUCCAAGGCUAAAUACUACUGACCGACCGAUAGUGAACCAGUACCGUGAGGGAAAGGCGAAAAGAACCCCGGAGAGGGGAGUGAAAUAGAACCUGAAACCGUGUGCGUACAAGCAGUAGGAGCUCCGCAAGGAGUGACUGCGUACCUUUUGUAUAAUGGGUCAGCGACUUACUGUUCGUGGCAAGCUUAACCGUAUAGGGGAGGCGAAGGGAAACCGAGUCUGAUAAGGGCGCAUAGUCGCGGGCAGUAGACCCGAAACCGGGUGAUCUAGUCAUGCCCAGGGUGAAGGUGCGGUAACACGCACUGGAGGCCCGAACCCACUCCCGUUGCAAAGGUAGGGGAUGAGGUGUGAUUAGGAGUGAAAAGCUAAUCGAACCCGGAGAUAGCUGGUUCUCCUCGAAAGCUAUUUAGGUAGCGCCUCAUAUGUAUCCUCUCGGGGGUAGAGCACUGUUAUGGCUAGGGGGUCAUCGCGACUUACCAAACCAUUGCAAACUCCGAAUACCGAGACGGACUGUAUGGGAGACACACGGCGGGUGCUAACGUCCGUCGUGAAAAGGGAAACAACCCAGACCCACAGCUAAGGUCCCAAAUUUUGUGCUAAGUGGAAAACCAUGUGGAAAGGCACAGACAGCCAGGAGGUUGGCUUAGAAGCAGCCACCCUUUAAAGAAAGCGUAAUAGCUCACUGGUCGAGUCGGUCUGCGGGGAAGAUUUAACGGGGCUAAGCACAGAACCGAAGCUUGGGGUGCAUACUUUGUAUGCGCGGUAGAGGAGCGUUCCGUAAGCCGUUGAAGGUGGAUUGAGAAGUCUGCUGGAGGUAUCGGAAGUGCGAAUGCUGACAUGAGUAACGAUAAUGCGGGUGAAAAACCCGCACGCCGAAAGCCCAAGGUUUCCUUGCGCAACGUUAAUCGGCGCAGGGUGAGUCGGCCCCUAAGGCGAGGACGAAAGUCGUAGUCGAUGGGAAGCAGGUUAAUAUUCCUGCACCUCGCGUAAGUGCGAUGGAGGGACGGAGAAGGUUAGGUGUACCAGGCGUUGGUUGUCCUGGGGAAAGGCGGUAGGUUUGGAUCUUUGGCAAAUCCGGGAUCCUCUAAGACCGAGCACCGAGACGAGCCUUUAUGGCGAAGUCACUGAUACCACGCUUCCAGGAAAAGCUCCUAAGCUUCAGCUUACGCAGACCGUACCGUAAACCGACACAGGUGGGUAGGAUGAGAAUUCUCAGGCGCUUGAGAGAACUCGGGUGAAGGAACUAGGCAACAUGGCACCGUAACUUCGGGAGAAGGUGCACCCUUUUUGGUGGCUCGUGCGAGCUAUAGCUGAAGAGGGUCGCAGUAACCAGGCCGCUGCGACUGUUUAUCAAAAACACAGCACUCUGCAAACACGAAAGUGGACGUAUAGGGUGUGACGCCUGCCCGGUGCUGGAAGGUUAAUUGAUGGGGUCAGCCGCAAGGCGAAGCUCUUGAUCGAAGCCCCAGUAAACGGCGGCCGUAACUAUAACGGUCCUAAGGUAGCGAAAUUCCUUGUCGGGUAAGUUCCGACCUGCACGAAUGGCGUAACGACAGCGGCGCUGUCUCCACCCGAGACUCAGUGAAAUUGAAAUCGCUGUGAAGAUGCAGCGUUCCCGUGGCAAGACGGAAAGACCCCGUGAACCUUUACUAUAGCUUUACACUGAACGUUGAGUUCGUCUGUGUAGGAUAGGUGGGAGGCUAUGAAACCAUGGCGCUAGCUGUGGCGGAGCCAUCCUUGAAAUACCACCCUGUCGUGCUUGACGUUCUAACCUGGGCCCAUUAUCUGGGUCGGGGACCGUGUAUGGUGGGUAGUUUGACUGGGGCGGUCUCCUCCUAAAGAGUAACGGAGGAGCUCGAAGGUACGCUCAGCGCGGUCGGACAUCGCGCACUGUGUGCAAAGGCAUAAGCGUGCUUGACUGCAAGAUCGACGGAUCAAGCAGGUAGGAAACUAGGACUUAGUGAUCCGGUGGUUCUGUAUGGAAGGGCCAUCGCUCAACGGAUAAAAGGUACUCCGGGGAUAACAGGCUGAUACCGCCCAAGAGUUCAUAUCGACGGCGGUGUUUGGCACCUCGAUGUCGGCUCAUCACAUCCUGGGGCUGUAGUCGGUCCCAAGGGUAUGGCUGUUCGCCAUUUAAAGUGGUACGCGAGCUGGGUUCAGAACGUCGUGAGACAGUUCGGUCCCUAUCUGCCAUGGGCGUUGGAGAUUUGAGAGGGGCUGCUCCUAGUACGAGAGGACCGGAGUGGACGAACCUCUGGUGUUCCGGUUGUCACGCCAGUGGCAUUGCCGGGUAGCUAUGUUCGGAAGCGAUAACCGCUGAAAGCAUCUAAGCGGGAAGCGCGCCUCAAGAUGAGAUCUCCCGGGGCACAAGCCCCCUGAAGGAACCAUGUAGACUACGUGGUUGA
This 2796-nucleotide ribosomal RNA is filed under the name Stenotrophomonas maltophilia. Its description in RNAcentral is "bacterial LSU rRNA". It matches the Rfam family "Bacterial large subunit ribosomal RNA". The record is from RNAcentral. Lineage: Bacteria; Pseudomonadati; Pseudomonadota; Gammaproteobacteria; Lysobacterales; Lysobacteraceae.